This 388-nucleotide ribosomal RNA is filed under the name uncultured bacterium. Its description in RNAcentral is "bacterial SSU rRNA". It matches the Rfam family "Bacterial small subunit ribosomal RNA", at positions 30 to 415 of the family's 1533-position model. The record is from RNAcentral.
AUUGAACGCUGGCGGCAUGCCUUACACAUGCAAGUCGAACGGCAGCACGGGAGCUUGCUCCUGGUGGCGAGUGGCGAACGGGUGAGUAAUAUAUCGGAACGUACCCUAGAGUGGGGGAUAACGCAGCGAAAGUUGCGCUAAUACCGCAUACGAUCUACGGAUGAAAGUGGGGGAUCGCAAGACCUCAUGCUCAUGGAGCGGCCGAUAUCUGAUUAGCUAGUUGGUGGGGUAAAGGCCUACCAAGGCUUCGAUCAGUAGCUGGUCUGAGAGGACGACCAGCCACACUGGAACUGAGACACGGUCCAGACUCCUGCGGGAGGCAGCAGUGGGGGAAUAUUGGACAAUGGGCGAAAGCCUGAUCCAGCCAUGCCGCGUGUGUGAAGAAGGU